UCCUGGUUUCCCAGGCAGUCCCAUCAGAGUGCCUUACUCACGUAAGUAGCAACUGACGGCAAGGGUUGCGCUCGUUAGAGGACUUAACCCAACAUCUCACGACACGAGCUGACGACAGCCAUGCAGCACCUGUGCAAUUGUUCUGACCGAAGCCAGAAAAGUCAUGUUUCCAUGACGGUCAAAAGCAUGUCAAGCCUAGGUAAGGUUCCUCGCGUAGUGUCGAAUUAAACCACAUGUUCCACCGCUUGUGCGGGCCCCCGUCAAUUUCUUUGAGUUUUAGUCUUGCGACCGUAAUCCCCAGGUGGAUCACUUAACGCGUUAGCUACGACACUAAUUCUGUCAAACAGAACUAACGUCUAGUGAUCAUCGUUUACAGCGUGGACUAC
This 386-nucleotide unclassified non-coding RNA is filed under the name uncultured bacterium. Its description in RNAcentral is "contains 16S-23S intergenic spacer region". The record is from RNAcentral.